UGGUUGGUUGGGCUCUGAUUUUGGAAUGGACAAUUGGUGGUUCUACCGUGGCUCGUGGCAUAACUCCCAAUCUGGCCCUGUUUUUGGGAGGUCAGGAUAAGUUACCUGCUUUCUUGGCCCGUAUUACCAUCCCUGGACUUGAUAUUGUUGUUGAUCCAUGUGCAGCAAUUUUAAUCUGCAUUGUUACUGUACUUUUGUGCAUUGG
This 205-nucleotide unclassified non-coding RNA is filed under the name Hevea brasiliensis (rubber tree). Lineage: Eukaryota; Viridiplantae; Streptophyta; Magnoliopsida; Malpighiales; Euphorbiaceae. The record is from RNAcentral.